CAGUCGCCGCGGUAAUACGAAGGGGGCUAGCGUUGUUCGGAAUUACUGGGCGUAAAGGGCGCGUAGGCGGCCAUUCAAGUUAGAUGUGAAAGCCCUGGGCUCAACCUAGGAAUUGCAUUUGAUACUGUUUGGCUUGAGUUCGGGAGAGGUGAGUGGAAUUCCCAGUGUAGAGGUGAAAUUCGUAGAGAUGUGGAGGAACACCAGUGGCGAAGGCGACUCUCUGGUCUGUAACUGACGCUGAGGAGCGAAAGCGUGGGGAGCGAACAGGAUUAGAUACCCCAGUAGUCCCUGUCUCUUAUAC
This 301-nucleotide ribosomal RNA is filed under the name uncultured bacterium. RNAcentral describes it as "partial 16S ribosomal RNA". It matches the Rfam family "Bacterial small subunit ribosomal RNA", at positions 509 to 807 of the family's 1533-position model. The record is from RNAcentral.